GUGUCAGCCGCCGCGGUAAUACGGGGGGAGCAAGCGUUGUUCGGAUUUACUGGGCGUAAAGGGCGCGUAGGCGGCCAGCACAAGUCAGUUGUGAAAUCUCCGAGCUUAACUCGGAAAGGUCAACUGAUACUGUGCGGCUAGAGUGCGGAAGGGGCAACUGGAAUUCUUGGUGUAGCGGUGAAAUGCGUAGAUAUCAAGAGGAACACCUGCGGCGAAGGCGGGUUGCUGGGCCGACACUGACGCUGAGGCGCGAAAGCUAGGGGAGCGAACGGGAUUAGAAACCCUGGUAGUCC
This 293-nucleotide ribosomal RNA is filed under the name uncultured bacterium. RNAcentral's name for it is "partial 16S ribosomal RNA". It matches the Rfam family "Bacterial small subunit ribosomal RNA", at positions 505 to 796 of the family's 1533-position model. The record is from RNAcentral.